ACAUAGUAAAGCACAGCACAAGGUUACAAGAUUACAUAACAUAAAUACGGCACCCAUAAGUAAUAUAAAACAGAGGAAAACACACAGAUUCAUAAUAAAACAUGGGACACGGACUCCUAACAGGAAUAAACCCCCACCAAGUAGUUCCCUAUACUAGCGACUCAGACUGGCCCUAGUCCACUGCCCUGAUUCGCGUCCUCCAGACCUUCCUAUCUAGGGUCAUGUCCUCGGUGAGCUGUAACUGCUCCAUGUCUCGCCUAAUCACCUCACCCCAGUACUUCUUCGGCCUACCCCUACCCCGCUUAAAACCAUCCAACGCUAGCCUCUCACACCUACGGACCGGGGCAUCCACGCCCCUCCUCUUCACGUGUCCGAACCAUCUCAAUCGGGCUUCCCGCAUCUUGCACUCCACUGGUGUCACACCAACCUUCCCCCGGAUGUUUUCAUUCCGAACUCUAUCCCCUCUAGUCAGCCCACACAUCCAGCGCAACAUCCGCAUUUCUGCCACCCUCAUCUUCUGGAUGUGGGAGUUCUUAACUGGCCAACACUCC
This 551-nucleotide long non-coding RNA is filed under the name Capsicum annuum. RNAcentral describes it as "long non-coding RNA (CANN_LNC003124)". The record is from RNAcentral. Lineage: Eukaryota; Viridiplantae; Streptophyta; Magnoliopsida; Solanales; Solanaceae.